Molecule: ribosomal RNA, 254 nt
Filed under: uncultured bacterium
Lineage: Bacteria
Description: partial 16S ribosomal RNA
Rfam family: Bacterial small subunit ribosomal RNA
Source: RNAcentral
UACGAAGGUGGCUAGCGUUGUUCGGAAUCACUGGGCGUAAAGCGCGCGUAGGCGGCGAUUCAAGUCAGAGGUGAAAUGCCCCAGGCUCAACCUGGGAACUGCCUUUGAAACUGUAUCGCUUGAGUACUGGAGGGGAGCGGGGAAUUCCUAAUGUAGAGGUGAAAUUCGUAGAUAUUAGGAGGAACACCGGUGGCGAAGGCGCCGCUCUGGACAGUCACUGACGCUGAGGCGCGAAAGCGUGGGGAUCAAACAGG